Triticum aestivum (bread wheat) is the source of this 1563-nucleotide long non-coding RNA. RefSeq lists it as uncharacterized. The record is from RefSeq and is a predicted model, not a curated record. The transcript has 2 exons. Lineage: Eukaryota; Viridiplantae; Streptophyta; Magnoliopsida; Poales; Poaceae.
GACGACGGCGAGGUAGGAGGCGUCCAGGUACGCCCUCCUUCUUCUUUCCCUGUUCUGAAUCUCCUCCAUAACCUGCUGCAUCUCCUCCCAUCUCAUGUGCCACUGCUUGCUUUGCUUUCUUCCUUCCAUGGGAAGAUGCAGAUCUCAUCUCUUCUUGUUCUACGCCGGCCAGACCAUGACCACGGCAAGCGGAAGGAUGCACGAUGGGCUGGGUGACAAGGUGCUUUGCUCUUGCGCAUGUUUGGUGGCGUCUCCGGUGCAGCCGUGCUUCUUGAGGCGACCGACGUGAUGGCGGGUGUGUAUGGCGGCGACCACAAGCUCUCCGGGAGCUCCGCAUCUGAGUCUCGUUCAUCCUCCACAGCAAGGAGCUAGGCCAAGGGAGCUAGCAGCGCUACUGGUUUCUUGAGGCCGGAUCGUGUAAGAUGGUGCACCACGGCGUGCGGCGGCCUAUUCUGUUGUAGUGGUAUUGUGUAUAGUCUCAUCCAGCACUGAGUAUCAAUAUGUUGUUUUAAACCUGAUGAUGUUGUAGCAUAAAGUGGUUACUUGUCUGAUGCACAUUGUUCUUUGCGGGGUUAUGAUGAUAUUUCCAAGGAAAUAUACUGACCCUGAUGUGGCUAAGAUGCCCAUUUGCCCUUUGUGAAACAAUUUUACUCUAUUUUAUGUUCUUCCUGUAUGUCCAGUUUCACAUUGCUGGUGUUUCAUGCCAUAUUCAUCAAUCCUAGUCACAUUACUGUUGUUUUUUCAGUAGCAAAUAAAUAGAUAAACUAAAUGUACUAUAUCUUGGUAUUCUAGAACUUCAGUGCCUCACAGAAGUUUCUUUAUAUCCUACUUUAGCUUGCAAACCUGAUGACUUGUUGUCUGUUCUCAUCCUCAACUACACCUGUAUGCACCUUAGUAGUAAUAAAUACAUUGGUCAUGUAGAUAUCAUUGGGAACUAUAUCUGCGUCCAUAUGUUUUUGCCAUCAUUAAAUGUUGUAAGUAGAGGUUAGAAAUGCAGAACUGUGAUGUUGUGCUGGGAGCACCCUUGCUACAGUCAUGGGUUAGGUUUCAGCUUCACAUCUUCUCAGGUUUAACUAUUGGUUUACAUUGAAACUGUAGCAAGUGUCAAAUGAGUGCAUAGUGUGCAAUUUGUCUAGUAAUCUAGGCGCACAAAAGUAUCAGGCCGUAUGUUUUCUUAUAAGCAAACUAUACUGAUGGUUGUAAGAUGAGUUAAAGUAUACUAGUGCUAUCGUGAUUUCAUACUAAAUGUCAUUCAUUUAUUAGUUUGGUGUUCUAUAUGCUUCUAAUGCAUGAUCCUUUCAAUGCUAGGUGAUUUGAUUUCAGAAGUUGGAAGAGGAAGAUGAUGAAGCAUGGUGUUAUUUUAUCAAUCUGCCUCUUGUUCUGGUUGUACUCUGUAGCUAGUUAUAUUGUAAUUGGUAGUAGUCAGCACAUUUAUUGUAAUCUGCCUCUUGUUCUAGUUAUACUGUAAAGACUAUAAUAGGCUGAUUUUGCAUAUCGGUAGUAGUCAGCACAUUUAUUGUAAUCUGCCUCUUGUUCAAGAAUUUAGUUCUGUUCCAUUUGAAA